This 254-nucleotide ribosomal RNA is filed under the name uncultured Lactobacillus sp. RNAcentral's name for it is "partial 16S ribosomal RNA". It matches the Rfam family "Bacterial small subunit ribosomal RNA", at positions 109 to 355 of the family's 1533-position model. Lineage: Bacteria; Bacillati; Bacillota; Bacilli; Lactobacillales; Lactobacillaceae. The record is from RNAcentral.
AGUAACACGUGGGGAACCUGCCCCUAAGUCUGGGAUACCAUUUGGAAACAGGUGCUAAUACCGGAUAAUAAAGCAGAUCCCAUGAUCAGCUUUUGAAAGGCGGCGUAAGCUGUCGCUAAGGGAUGGCCCCGCGGUGCAUUAGCUAGUUGGUAAGGUAACGGCUUACCAAGGCGACGAUGCAUAGCCGAGUUGAGAGACUGAUCGGCCACAUUGGGACUGAGACACGGCCCAAACUCCUACGGGAGGCAGCAGCA